AGAACGAACGCUGGCGGCACGCCUAACACAUGCAAGUCGAGCGCCCAGCAAUGGGAGCGGCGGACGGGUGAGUAACACGUGGGAACAUGCCUUUCGGUACGGAACAACUGCGGGAAACUGCAGCUAAUGCCGUAUACGCCCUUACGGGGAAAGAUUUAUCGCCGAAAGAUUGGCCCGCGUCUGAUUAGCUAGUUGGUGAGGUAACGGCUCACCAAGGCUUCGAUCAGUAGCUGGUUUGAGAGAACGACCAGCCACAUUGGGACUGAGACACGGCCCAAACUCCUACGGGAGGCAGCAGUGGGGAAUCUUGGACAAUGGGGAAACCCUGAUCCAGCGAUGCCGCGUGAGUGAUGAAGGCCUUCGGGUUGUAAAACUCUUUCGACGGGGACGAUAAUGACGGUACCCGUAGAAGAAGCUCCGGCUAACUUCGCGCCAGCAGCCGC
RNAcentral lists this ribosomal RNA (443 nucleotides) under uncultured bacterium. RNAcentral's name for it is "SSU rRNA". It matches the Rfam family "Bacterial small subunit ribosomal RNA", at positions 26 to 518 of the family's 1533-position model. The record is from RNAcentral.